RNAcentral lists this ribosomal RNA (400 nucleotides) under uncultured bacterium. RNAcentral's name for it is "bacterial SSU rRNA". It matches the Rfam family "Bacterial small subunit ribosomal RNA", at positions 358 to 774 of the family's 1533-position model. The record is from RNAcentral.
GGAAUAUUGCGCAAUGGAGGAAACUCUGACGCAGUGACGCCGCGUAUAGGAUGAAGGUUUUCGGAUUGUAAACUAUUGUCGUUAGGGAAGAUAAAAGACAGUACCUAAGGAGGAAGCUCCGGCUAACUACGUGCCAGCAGCCGCGGUAAUACGUAGGGAGCAAGCGUUAUCCGGAUUUAUUGGGUGUAAAGGGUGCGUAGACGGAAAGACAAGUUGGUUGUGAAAUCCCUCGGCUUAACUGAGGAACUGCAACUAAAACUGGAUUUCUUGAGUGCUGGAGCGGAAAGCGGAAUUCCUAGUGUAGCGGUGAAAUGCGUAGAUAUUAGGAGGAACACCAGUGGCGAAGGCGGCUUUCUGGACAGUAACUGACGUUGAGGCACGAAAGUGUGGGGAGCAAACA